AUACGAAGGGGGCUAGCGUUGUUCGGAAUCACUGGGCGUAAAGCGCGCGUAGGUGGAUCAAUUAGUUGAGGGUGAAAUCCCGGGGCUCAACCUCGGAACUGCCUUCAAUACUGUUGAUCUUGAGACCGAGAGAGGUGAGUGGAAUUCCUAGUGUAGAGGCGAAAUUCGUAGAUAUUAGGAAGAACACCAGUGGCGAAGGCGGCUCACUGGCUCGGUACUGACGCUGAGGUGCGAAAGCGUGGGGAGCAAACAGGAUUAGAAACCCCAGUAGUCC
Molecule: ribosomal RNA, 274 nt
Filed under: uncultured bacterium
Lineage: Bacteria
Description: partial 16S ribosomal RNA
Rfam family: Bacterial small subunit ribosomal RNA
Source: RNAcentral